GANAACGACUCUCGGCAACGGAUAUCUCGGCUCUCGCAUCGAUGAAGAACGUAGCGAAAUGCGAUACUUGGUGUGAAUUGCAGAAUCCCGUGAACCAUCGAGUCUUUGAACGCAAGUUGCGCCCGAAGCCGUCAGGCCGAGGGCACGUCUGCCUGGGCNUCACGCA
Molecule: ribosomal RNA, 166 nt
Filed under: Solanum dimidiatum
Lineage: Eukaryota; Viridiplantae; Streptophyta; Magnoliopsida; Solanales; Solanaceae
Description: 5.8S ribosomal RNA
Rfam family: 5.8S ribosomal RNA
About the family: 5.8S ribosomal RNA (5.8S rRNA) is a component of the large subunit of the eukaryotic ribosome. It is transcribed by RNA polymerase I as part of the 45S precursor that also contains 18S and 28S rRNA. Functionally, it is thought that 5.8S rRNA may be involved in ribosome translocation.
Source: RNAcentral